GUGGGGAAUAUUGGACAAUGGGCGCAAGCCUGAUCCAGCCAUGCCGCGUGAGUGAUGAAGGCCCUAGGGUUGUAAAGCUCUUUCAGUGGGGACGAUAAUGACGGUACCCUCAGAAGAAGCCCCGGCUAACUUCGUGCCAGCAGCCGCGGUAAUACGAAGGGGGCUAGCGUUGUUCGGAUUUACUGGGCGUAAAGCGCACGUAGGCGGAUCGUUAAGUCGAGGGUGAAAUCCUGGAGCUCAACUCCAGAGCUGCCUUCGAUACUGGCGAUCUGGAGUCCGGAAGAGGUGAGUGGAGCUCCUAGUGUAGAGGUAGAAUUCGUAGAGAGAAGGAAGAACACCAGUGGCGAAGGCGACUCACUGGUCCGGUACUGACGCUGAGGUGCGAAAGCGUGGGGAGCAAACAGGAUUAGAAACCCCAGUAGUCC
This 425-nucleotide ribosomal RNA is filed under the name uncultured bacterium. RNAcentral's name for it is "partial 16S ribosomal RNA". It matches the Rfam family "Bacterial small subunit ribosomal RNA", at positions 354 to 796 of the family's 1533-position model. The record is from RNAcentral.